UGCUUGUCUCAAAGAUUAAGCCAUGCAUGUCUAAGCAUAAACCGAAUAUGGUAAAGCCGCGAAUGGCUCAUUACAACAGCCAUAGUUUAUUGGAUCUUAGAGUCCUACUUGGAUACCUGUGGUAAUUCUAGAGCUAAUACACGCAAUCAAGCCUCAACCUUACGGGCGGGGCGCAUUUAUUAGAACAAAACCAAUUGGCUUCGGCCAUAGAUUGGUGAAUCUGAAUAACUACGCUGAUCGCACGGGCUUGUCCCGGCGACGUAUCCUUCAAGUGUCUGCCUUAUCAACUUUCGAUGGAGUUUAUAUGACUACCAUGGUUGUAACGGGUAACGGAGAAUAAGGGUUCGACUCCGGAGAGGGAGCCUGAGAAACGGCUACCACAUCCRAGGAAUGUAGCAGGCA
This 402-nucleotide ribosomal RNA is filed under the name Nematoda environmental sample. Its description in RNAcentral is "SSU rRNA". It matches the Rfam family "Eukaryotic small subunit ribosomal RNA", at positions 29 to 436 of the family's 1831-position model. Lineage: Eukaryota; Metazoa; Nematoda. The record is from RNAcentral.